GUGCUCAUUUCAGCAGCACAUAUACUAAAAUUGGAAUGAUACAGAGAUUUGCAUGAUCCCUACACAAGGAUAAAAAUUUUAAAAUAAAGAAAAAUUAGAAACAGAA
RNAcentral lists this small nuclear RNA (106 nucleotides) under Carlito syrichta (Philippine tarsier). Lineage: Eukaryota; Metazoa; Chordata; Mammalia; Primates; Tarsiidae. The record is from RNAcentral.